CUUACCCUUCUACGUUUCUCAUCUCACUCUCACACACAACUCCGUCUCAUUCCUCCUCCACCUCACCAGGUGUGACUGCUACUGUUUUGGAGUUUUGAAGACAUUAGAGCCUCUUGGUUUUCAUGAUGAAGAGAAAUGGUGUGCAAGAAGAUUAGAGAUUAUGAAUAGGAGAGGUUGUUGAAGGAGCAUUAGAAGAAGCUCGCCGACAUCAAAUUGGGCAUUAAAUAAGCACAAAGUGCAUGUGAUUUCUUAGAUUUGCAAAUGUAAUUUUGUAUUAUUUUGUCUUCGCAAAUUGACUUUAGGACUCUUCAAUGAUGAGCUUCUAGAAUGGGUUGUGAUUCUCAGCAAUA
Camellia sinensis is the source of this 350-nucleotide non-coding RNA. NCBI's taxonomy places the organism in Eukaryota, Viridiplantae, Streptophyta, Magnoliopsida, Ericales, Theaceae. The record is from RefSeq and is a predicted model, not a curated record.